This 337-nucleotide unclassified non-coding RNA is filed under the name soil metagenome. RNAcentral's name for it is "partial contains 5.8S ribosomal RNA, internal transcribed spacer 2, and large subunit ribosomal RNA". The stretch from base 1 to 120 matches the Rfam family "5.8S ribosomal RNA", at positions 35 to 154 of the family's 154-position model. The record is from RNAcentral.
GAUGAAGAACGUAGCGAAAUGCGAUAAGUAAUGUGAAUUGCAGAAUUCAGUGAAUCAUCGAAUCUUUGAACGCACAUUGCGCCCGCCAGUAUUCUGGCGGGCAUGCCUGUUCGAGCGUCAUUUCAACCAUCAAGCCCCCCGGCUUGUGUUGGGGACCUGCGGCUGCCGCAGGCCCUGAAAAGCAGUGGCAGGCUCGCUGUCACACCGAGCGUAGUAGAUCUCAUCUCGCUCAGGGCGUGCUGCGGGUUCCGGCCGUUAAACCACCUUCAUAACCCAAGGUUGACCUCGGAUCAGGUAGGAAGACCCGCUGAACUUAAGCAUAUCAAUAAGCGGAGGA